RNAcentral lists this ribosomal RNA (506 nucleotides) under uncultured bacterium. Its description in RNAcentral is "partial 16S ribosomal RNA". It matches the Rfam family "Bacterial small subunit ribosomal RNA", at positions 29 to 523 of the family's 1533-position model. The record is from RNAcentral.
AGUGAACGCUGGCGGUAGGCCUAACACAUGCAAGUCGAACGGCAGCACAGGAGAGCUUACUCUCUGGGUGGCGAGUGGCGGACGGGUGAGGAAUACAUCGGAAUCUACUUUUUCGUGGGGGAUAACGUAGGGAAACUUACGCUAAUACCGCAUACGACCUACGGGUGAAAGCAGGGGAUCUUCGGACCUUGCGCGAUUGAAUGAGCCGAUGUCGGAUUAGCUAGUUGGCGGGGUAAAGGGCCACCAAGGCGACGAUCCGUAGCUGGUCUGAGAGGAUGAUCAGCCGCACUGGAGCUGAGACACGGUCAAGAAUCCUACGGGAGGCAGCAGUGGGGAAUAUUAGACAAUGGGCGCAAGCCUGAUCCAGCCAUACCGCGUGGGUGAAGAAGGCCUUCGGGUUGUAAAGCCCUUUUGUUGGGAAAGAAAUCCAGCUGGUUAAUACCCGGUUGGGAUGACGGUACCCAAAGAAUAAGCACCGGCUAACUUCGUGCCAGCCGCCGCCGUAA